AUACGUAGGGGGCGAGCGUUGUCCGGAAUGAUUGGGCGUAAAGGGCGCGUAGGCGGCGCGGUAAGUCUGGAGUGAAAGUCCUGCUUUCAAGGUGGGAAUUGCUUUGGAUACUGCCGCGCUUGAGUGCAGGAGAGGUUAUCGGAAUUCCCGGUGUAGCGGUGAAAUGCGUAGAGAUCGGGAGGAACACCAGUGGCGAAGGCGGGUAACUGGACUGCAACUGACGCUGAGGCGCGAAAGUGUGGGGAGCAAACAGGAUUAGAUACCCUGGUAGUCCACACUGUAAACGAUGAAUGCUAGGUGUAAGAGGUAUCGACCCCUUUUGUGCCGGAGUCAACACAAUAAGCAUUCCGCCUGGGGAGUACGGCCGCAAGGCUAAAACUCAAAUGAAUUGGCGGGG
This 397-nucleotide ribosomal RNA is filed under the name uncultured bacterium. RNAcentral's name for it is "partial 16S ribosomal RNA". It matches the Rfam family "Bacterial small subunit ribosomal RNA", at positions 523 to 918 of the family's 1533-position model. The record is from RNAcentral.